Long non-coding RNA from Symphalangus syndactylus (siamang), 3672 nucleotides. RefSeq lists it as uncharacterized. NCBI's taxonomy places the organism in Eukaryota, Metazoa, Chordata, Mammalia, Primates, Hylobatidae. The record is from RefSeq and is a predicted model, not a curated record.
CUCUUUGGGAGGCCAAGGCGGGUGGAUCAUGAGGUCAGGAGUUCAAGACCAGCCUGGCCAAGGUGGUAAAACGCUGUCUCUACUAAAAAUACAAAAAAAUUAGCCGGACGUGGUGGCAGGCACCUGUAAUCUCAGCUACUCAGGAGGCUGAGGCACAGAAUUUCUUGAACCCGGGAGGCAGAGAAUUUCUUGAACCCGGGAGGCAGAGGUUGCAGUGAGCCAAGAUGGCGCCACUGCACUUCAGCCUGGGUGACAGAGCGAGACUGUGUCUCAGAAAGAAAAAGAAGAAAAAAAAAAAAGAUACCGAGUUUAAUAGGCUCAAAGCUGUCCCUGUUUGGCAAUUUACCUUGCUGUGUACAUACAUACAUACACACAUCCAAACCUAAUUGGAUUUCUUUUGAAACACAUAAUAAAAUUUGACCCAUCUGAGCAGGGCUCCUAUAGCCUUGUAUCUUGGAAAAUUUGUAUGUUUAAGCUUGAUGAUGUCCUUAAGAAAGGUGGUAUUCUGGAAAGACCACAGACAUUGAAGUCAUUUGGGCUCAAAUUUUGGCCACACCACUUCUGAUUGUGUAACCCUGAGCAAGGUAGAUCUCUGAGCAUCAGGAUUUCCUCUUAUAUUUCUGAUUUCAACUCUCUUAAAAUUUUGCCACCCUAAGAAUACCUACUUUUUCCUUAGGGCUAGUUAUGUGCUAGGUACUGUGUUAGGAGUCUUACAUACAUUAAUGCCCAUUCCUGCCAGAAAGAUACCUGUACUUUCAUUUUCCAGAUGAGAUAAGGUGGCAGGGUAAAGUAAUCCUGGUCUGGGAGGAAGAGCAUGGGCUGAUUUCUGGUUUUGGUUCUGCCAUUUUAAUGGCAAUUCAUUUAACAGCUCUAAGUCUGUGAUGUGUGGUUUAGGAGUUUUAAAUGAGACAACACAAAGCAUUGAUCAAGGUGCCUGACUCAUAGAAGGUGUGCGUUUUCCUUUAUGAAAAUUAUAAAGUUAGAGAUUUAUGAUUGGAAUACAGUAUGGUCGUGAUGGCAGCGGUGGCCUGUCUGGAGCCUCUGCUGGGAAGAUGCCAGCUGCAGUUGGGGAGGUGCGGUCAGGGCUGUGUGCUCCAUGGAGCUGGCAGGAGCUGGGAACAAGCGGGAGCCCUGCCCUCCCAGGCACAGUUGCAGCUGCCCAACCACAGCUGCAGACCUGGGCAUCCCGGAAGCCCAUGAGCUUGGAAGUACCUGCUCCUGCUGCCUGACCUGUCUGUGCUCCUGGUGUCCACUCCAAUUUCAGAGCAAAGUUGAGGCCGAGCCUGGGUUCUACUGAGACCUGGUCGGGUGUGCACACACUUGGGGCGGUGCUGACACACCAGCCCCCUGCAGCCUCAGCCCCCUCCGGACUUUGGGUGCCAAGAAGCAUGAGGGAGGCCAAGCAGGGGAGGAGGGCAGCUGGGUGCAGGUCUGUAGAUGCCCCUUUGCACCAACAGCCUGGGUGCUGUGGACAAAAUGAUUGAUGGCCAUAAGAGGCAGACAGGCUCCUGGGUGGAAAGGGGUGGGUCCCUGGCGAAGCCCCGCCUUCAAGUCAGGGAUGGCCUGAAGCCUGAGGGCCAAGCUGUCAGUUCGGGCUGGAGUCUGUGGCCCAGAGUAAGAACUUGUGGUUUUUCCGGGCCUGCCCGUGGCUGCCCAUGGACCAAUCAGCAUGUACUUUCUCCCUUUUGAAACCCAUAAAAACCCUGGACUCAGACUCUGGCAGAUGUCAGACGACCUGCUGCAGAAAGGAGCUGUCUACUCCGGGUCUCCUAAGGGCUACAGACUUGAUGGGUGCCGGGUCCAACCUGCAGACUGCGACCAAGCGACGGAUGAAAAAAAUGCACUCCAACACAGAUAUCCAGUGAAAGAGCGGGCUACCGGGAGCGGGCUGCCUACAGAAAGAGUUGUGGCAGCCUCAGCCCUGACAAGCUGGUGCUGCAGGCAACUAUUUAGUACAGAUUUAAUGACAAAGGCCUUGAGUCAUUGUGGGUAAUUAACGUGGUCAUUGCCCCCCACCUCCACCUCAUCUCCAGAGAGAGCAGUCCUGCGCCUCGAUUAUUAAAGGCCAGGUUCCAAGGCCUAAGUAAACUAACUUACCUAGAUCAGUUUCUUUUUUUUUUUUUUUGUUCUUAUUAUACUUUAGGUUUUAGGGUACAUGUGCACCAUGUGCAGGUUUGUUACAUAUGUAUCCAUGUGCCCCCUUGUUAUCUAACCUAAGCUUUCAGGCACCAGAUAAGAGAAUCUGGCUGCCUUCGGCCAAAUCCUUUUCUGAAGCUUUUGUAAAACUUCCCAGCCUUCUAAGAAGGUUUGCUUCUUUCUACAAUUUUUCCCACCACCCUUACCGAACCCCUACAGAUGGGAUGACCUGCCUGCAUCUGGGAGGUACCCACUCUGGGUCUUUUCUGCACUGAAGGCUGCACAGAUGUCAGGAUGACCUGCCUGCGGAAAGGAGCAACCCACUUUGGGUCUCCUGAGAGCUGUACUGUCGCUCAAUAAAGCUCCUCUUCACCUUGUUCACCCUCCAGUUGUCCGUAUACCUCAUUCUUCCUGAAUGCAGGACAAGAACCUGGGACCCGUCAAAUGGUGGGGCUGAAAAAGCGGUAACACAAACGGCUGAAAUAUGUCUCCCUUGCUCGCCAUGUUGCAGGCAACAAGAAGGAGAGAAGAGCUGCGGCCCUUCCGGGAGCCCAGACUUAGGGGCUUCCUGAGCCAGUGCUGUGACACCCCCUUUAGGGCUCUGCGGUUUCUGGCAUCUCCAAGCUUCCAGGUGCCGCUGCAUUCUCCUCGUCCAGACGCAGGUGCCCACGGCAGAAGCCGCUUGCAGUGCAUCUCAUCCAGCUGCAGGCUUGCAUGGAGCCAGCACCUAUGCCGGCAUCUGGAGCUGCCUGCUCUGCCCGGCUGUAUACAGUGGCCACCGGUGUGCCUGGCUGUGUGCAGUGGCUGGACCCUGCACUCACACACGCCUUGCCACUCUGUGCUUGUCUUGCCCUUGGCAGGCUUGGGAUCCGGGCUGGUAGCACAAGCCUGCCAGGCUGAGUGGGCGGAACGAGCCCAGCGGACCUGAGCAAAACUCAGUUUACUCCUGGAAUUUAUUCCAAUGGAAUAAGAGGAGGAAAAGCUAUAUGAACAAUUUUGAAAAGAUUUACUCUUCAUUUAACAACUAUUUAUUAAGGUCAUCCUGAAUCAUGCCCGGUUAGGUCUGGGAAUACAGACUCUGUCAGAGGGCACCUGAUAAUCCAUGUUAUAUGAGAGCUAAGAAUUGAAAAUGGAAUGCACAUCCAGUAUUAGGGGGAUGGUAAGGUAAACAAUGAAGUGCCAAGUUAAUUGAAUAUUAAGUAGACUUUUAAAGUGGUAAUUUUGGCCAGGUGUGGUGGCGCAUGCCUAUAAUCUUAGAACUUUGGGAGGCUGGGAUGGGAGGAUCACUUGACCUCAGAAGUUUGAGACCAGCCUGGGAAACACAGGGAAACCCUGUAUCUCCAAAAAAUAAAAAAAAUUAGUCGGAUGUGAUGGCACGCACCUGAGGUCCCAGCUACCCAGGAAGCUGAGUUGGGAGGAUCACUUGAACCUGGGAGGUCGAGGCUGCAGUGAGCCAUGAUCACGCCACUGUACUCCAGUUUGGGUGACACAGCAAGACCAUGUCUCAAAAAAAAAAAAAAAAAAAAUCCUGAAGAC